AUUCUAGUAGCUUAAAAC
This 18-nucleotide transfer RNA is filed under the name Kinixys spekii (Speks hinged-back tortoise). Its description in RNAcentral is "partial transfer RNA-Thr". Lineage: Eukaryota; Metazoa; Chordata; Testudines; Testudinidae. The record is from RNAcentral.